RNAcentral lists this ribosomal RNA (1364 nucleotides) under Arthrobacter sp. ok362. RNAcentral's name for it is "bacterial LSU rRNA". It matches the Rfam family "Bacterial large subunit ribosomal RNA", at positions 1584 to 2925 of the family's 2925-position model. Lineage: Bacteria; Bacillati; Actinomycetota; Actinomycetes; Micrococcales; Micrococcaceae. The record is from RNAcentral.
GGGGGAUUCGGUGAUCCUAUGCUGCCGAGAAAAGCAUCGACGCGAGGUUUUAGCCGCCCGUACCCCAAACCGACACAGGUGAUCAGGUAGAGAAUACUAAGGCGAUCGAGAGAAUUAUGGUUAAGGAACUCGGCAAAAUGCCCCCGUAACUUCGGGAGAAGGGGGGCCCCAACCUUGAACACCACUUGCUGGUGGGAGGGGAUCGGGGCCGCAGAGACCAGGGGGAAGCGACUGUUUACUAAAAACACAGGUCCGUGCGAAGUCGCAAGACGAUGUAUACGGACUGACUCCUGCCCGGUGCUGGAAGGUUAAGAGGACCGGUUAGCCGCAAGGCGAAGCUGAGAAUUUAAGCCCCAGUAAACGGCGGUGGUAACUAUAACCAUCCUAAGGUAGCGAAAUUCCUUGUCGGGUAAGUUCCGACCUGCACGAAUGGAGUAACGACUUCCCCGCUGUCUCAACCAUAAACUCGGCGAAAUUGCAGUACGAGUAAAGAUGCUCGUUACGCGCAGCAGGACGGAAAGACCCCGAGACCUUUACUAUAGUUUGGUAUUGGUGUUCGGAGUGGCUUGUGUAGGAUAGGUGGGAGACGUUGAAGCCCGGACGCCAGUUCGGGUGGAGUCAUCGUUGAAAUACCACUCUGGUCACUUUGGACAUCUAACUUCGGCCCGUAAUCCGGGUCAGGGACAGUGCCUGAUGGGUAGUUUAACUGGGGCGGUUGCCUCCUAAAAAGUAACGGAGGCGCCCAAAGGUUCCCUCAGCCUGGUUGGCAAUCAGGUGUCGAGUGUAAGUGCACAAGGGAGCUUGACUGUGAGAGAGACAUCUCGAGCAGGGACGAAAGUCGGGACUAGUGAUCCGGCGGUACAUUGUGGAAUGGCCGUCGCUCAACGGAUAAAAGGUACCUCGGGGAUAACAGGCUGAUCUUGCCCAAGAGUCCAUAUCGACGGCAUGGUUUGGCACCUCGAUGUCGGCUCGUCGCAUCCUGGGGCUGGAGUAGGUCCCAAGGGUUGGGCUGUUCGCCCAUUAAAGCGGUACGCGAGCUGGGUUUAGAACGUCGUGAGACAGUUCGGUCCCUAUCCGCUGCGCGCGCAGGAAAUUUGAGAAGGGCUGUCCUUAGUACGAGAGGACCGGGACGGACGAACCUCUGGUGUGUCAGUUGUACUGCCAAGUGCACCGCUGAUUAGCUACGUUCGGAUGGGAUAACCGCUGAAAGCAUCUAAGCGGGAAGCUCGCUUCGAGAUGAGAUUUCCAUACACCUAGCGUGUGAGAGGCCCCCAGCCAGACCACUGGGUUGAUAGGCCGGAUGUGGAAGCGAGGACUAACGACUCGUGAAGCUGACCGGUACUAAUAGGCCGAUAACUUACACC